GAGCUCUCCAGAGUGUCUCUUAUCCAAAAGAUCCCGAACUUCCAACAUCUUUUCUAAACCGCAGUUGAGAACACAGCUCUGUAACUAAUCACCUCUGGUAAUAGAGGAUGUGUCACAGAAGCCACAGUUCUACUAGCUCGUGGAAAUAUGGUCUUCCUACAGUUAUCUUGCACUUUGGAGAAAAUACUCUUGGCUUAACAUAUUACCUUCUUGCUCGUUUCUUUUGGGACUGGAAAAAAGAUCAAUCAGCUUCAGGAACUUGAAAAUUUUCAAAACAAGCUGCAGCCACCACGCGGGAGAAAGCAGUUCACUGGUGAAUCCCUUGUCUACACUGUGUCUCCACUCCUCCCUGCUCGUGAAUAAGGUAAAUUAACCCCUCUGAUCUAUUUUCCUUAGCUUCAGGAAAAAACAGAGAUCUGGACAUGCACGGAUGUCCUCCUGCAUUAUCAACAAAAUAAAUUUGGAUACUGUCUUGGUUUGGAAAGACAGGUGUCUGCUAAGUAAGGCAGGAGCCUCCCCUCAAAUGGAAAAAAUGUAGAGCCCCUCCC
Taeniopygia guttata (zebra finch) is the source of this 548-nucleotide non-coding RNA. Lineage: Eukaryota; Metazoa; Chordata; Aves; Passeriformes; Estrildidae. The record is from RefSeq and is a predicted model, not a curated record.